UACGAAGGGGGCUAGCGUUGCUCGGAAUCACUGGGCGUAAAGCGCACGUAGGCGGACUCUUAAGUCGGUGGUGAAAUCCUGGAGCUCAACUCCAGAACUGCCUUCGAUACUGAGAGUCUUGAGUCCGGGAGAGGUGAGUGGAACUGCGAGUGUAGAGGUGAAAUUCGUAGAUAUUCGCAAGAACACCAGUGGCGAAGGCGGCUCACUGGCCCGGUACUGACGCUGAGGUGCGAAAGCGUGUGGAGCAAACAGG
RNAcentral lists this ribosomal RNA (253 nucleotides) under uncultured bacterium. RNAcentral's name for it is "partial 16S ribosomal RNA". It matches the Rfam family "Bacterial small subunit ribosomal RNA", at positions 524 to 776 of the family's 1533-position model. The record is from RNAcentral.